RNAcentral lists this transfer RNA (72 nucleotides) under Usnea subgracilis. Its description in RNAcentral is "tRNA-Met". It matches the Rfam family "tRNA". From Rfam's summary of the family: Transfer RNA (tRNA) molecules are approximately 80 nucleotides in length. Their secondary structure includes four short double-helical elements and three loops (D, anti-codon, and T loops). Further hydrogen bonds mediate the characteristic L-shaped molecular structure. tRNAs have two regions of fundamental functional importance: the anti-codon, which is responsible for specific mRNA codon recognition, and the 3' end, to which the tRNAs corresponding amino acid is attached (by aminoacyl-tRNA synthetases). tRNAs cope with the degeneracy of the genetic code in two manners: having more than one tRNA (with a specific anti-codon) for a particular amino acid; and 'wobble' base-pairing, i.e. permitting non-standard base-pairing at the 3rd anti-codon position. Lineage: Eukaryota; Fungi; Ascomycota; Lecanoromycetes; Lecanorales; Parmeliaceae. The record is from RNAcentral.
GGCGGAUUAGUGUAAUGGUUAAUGCAGCGGCUUCAUGCACCGCAAAUAGAGGUUCGAUUCUUCUAUCCGCGU